UGCUGCCUUGUGAGAUGCCGAG
This 22-nucleotide non-coding RNA is filed under the name Mus musculus (house mouse). Lineage: Eukaryota; Metazoa; Chordata; Mammalia; Rodentia; Muridae. The record is from RNAcentral.